UGUCAUUGUAAUCUCACUACGAUCGACUUUUUGUCUUUCUGUAUGUGGACUUGGAUGCUGCUCGUGAUGACUCACGACUCAUCUGAAAUGCCUGAGUGUACCCCGCUUUGCGGCGUAUUCGGUGUGAUACAUCUUCACCGGAGUUGAUCCUUUCGGGUCGCGUCUGUAAUGGUGUGGCUCUAUGCUUCGAACCGUCUCCAGRAGACAACCUCUGACAAUUUGACCUCAAAUCGGGUGGGACUACCCGCUGAACUUAAGCAUAUCAAUAAGCGGAGGAAAAGAAACUAACAAGGAUUCCCCUAGUAACGGCGAGUGAAGAGGGAAAAGCUCAAAUUUUGAAUCUGGUGUCUUUGACUCCCGAGUUGUAAUCUAGAGAAGUGUUUUCCGUGUCGGACCGUGCACAAGUUCCCUGGAACGGGGCGUCAUAGAGGGUGAGAAUCCCGUAUAUGGCAUGGACURCCGAUGCUUUUGUGAUACACUCUCAACGAGUCGAGUUGUUUGGGAAUGCAGCUCAAAAUGGGUGGUAAAUUCCAUCUAAAGCUAAAUAUUGGCGAGAGACCGAUAGCGAACAAGUACCGUGAGGGAAAGAUGAAAAGCACUUUGGAAAGAGAGUGAAACAGUACGUGAAAUUGUUGAAAGGGAAGCGUUUGAAGUCAGUCGUGUCUGGCGGGAUUCAGCCUGGCUUUUGCCAGGUGUACUUCUCGUCRGACGGGUCAGCAUCAAUUUCGACCGGGGGAAAAAGACGUGCGGAAUGUGGCUGUCUUCGGGCAGUGUUAUAGCCGUGCGUUGUAUGCCUCGGUUGGGAUUGAGGAACGCAGCGCGCCUCAUGGCCAGGGGCUUGCCCCUUGAUACGCGCUUAGGAUGCUGGCAUAAUGGCUUUAAGCGACCCGUCUUGAAACACGGA
This 904-nucleotide ribosomal RNA is filed under the name uncultured Sebacinales. Its description in RNAcentral is "eukaryotic LSU rRNA". The stretch from base 221 to 904 matches the Rfam family "Eukaryotic large subunit ribosomal RNA", at positions 1 to 665 of the family's 3401-position model. The record is from RNAcentral. Lineage: Eukaryota; Fungi; Basidiomycota; Agaricomycetes; Sebacinales.